Molecule: ribosomal RNA, 466 nt
Filed under: uncultured bacterium
Lineage: Bacteria
Description: partial 16S ribosomal RNA
Rfam family: Bacterial small subunit ribosomal RNA
Source: RNAcentral
GACGAACGCCGGCGGCGUGCUUAACACAUGCAAGUCGAACGGAAAGGCCCUGCUUUUGUGGGGUGCUCGAGUGGCGAACGGGUGAGUAACACGUGAGUAACCUGCCCUUGACUUUGGGAUAACUUCAGGAAACUGGGGCUAAUACCGGAUAGGAGCUCCUGCUGCAUGGUGGGGGUUGGAAAGUUUCGGCGGUUGGGGAUGGACUCGCGGCUUAUCAGCUUGUUGGUGGGGUAGUGGCUUACCAAGGCUUUGACGGGUAGCCGGCCUGAGAGGGUGACCGGCCACAUUGGGACUGAGAUACGGCCCAGACUCCUACGGGAGGCAGCAGUGGGGAAUAUUGCACAAUGGGCGGAAGCCUGAUGCAGCAACGCCGCGUGCGGGAUGACGGCCUUCGGGUUGUAAACCGCUUUCGCCUGUGACGAAGCGUGAGUGACGGUAAUGGGUAAAGAAGCACCGGCUAACUACG